This is a long non-coding RNA of Gadus macrocephalus (Pacific cod), 2173 nucleotides long. RefSeq lists it as uncharacterized. The transcript has 3 exons. The record is from RefSeq and is a predicted model, not a curated record. Lineage: Eukaryota; Metazoa; Chordata; Actinopteri; Gadiformes; Gadidae.
GGCGUCGUAUCGGUGGAUUUGUCGCGUUUUAUCACCUCUAUUUGCAUUUAGGGCACAUUUUCGCUUACUGUGACCUUGUUUUAGGUAACAUGAAGAUGAAUGUUGUUCAGUCCCCCUCGGCAGAAAAGUGAUUAAGCUUUCCCUCAUUUCCUGCUGAGUUUAGGCUAGUCCGGGUGGUAUUUAGUAGCCCAUUUAAAGGUACUGGGGCUGGCUUGAAGGAGGAGCUUUAUUAGAGUAUACAACCAUUUAGUACUGUUCCUUUUGAAAUACAAUAAUUCACUAGGAGCUGCAACUGCAUGCUGCAUGUGAAAAGUCAUUCUACCUCGAUUGCCUGCAUAAGCAAAUGAAAGAAAAUAAACGCAUGGAGCGGAUCAGAUGAGCCUCACCAACUGACGUCCUUUGGUGGAUUAGUCUUCAUGGCCUCGCCCACCUUGGCUUGCGACGGCCCACGGGAAGACACUAUUCAUUUUGCCGCCAGUUGACCAUCUCGGUAGAUAGGAGCAAACAGCCAGGUGCUUACAUGGCAGAACAAGUUCGUACCUGUGCUAUGUGUGGCGAUAACAAAGCCACGUUGCAUCUCUUGCCCAAGAAAGAAGAGUUUAGGAAGAAAUGGUUGGAAUUUAUCUUUGGAACACCACCAGCGAAAUACAACUCCAACUUAGUUCUGUGUUCUAAUCAUUUUGACCACAGUGACUUUUCCAACUUCGGUGCCUACAGUAGUGGUUUUGCUUCGAGGUUGUUCAUAAAACCUGGAUCUGUACCGUCACGACGAUCGACCGCCAGCUCACGGACUAGCACAUUGGUGACCCCCCCCAUCCAUACCAGCACACAAACAGAUCCACCUAGCCUUUCAUGUCGGGCUACACUGCUUGCUAUGGGUACAUUAGGUCAUCCUGCUAGAAGCAAAGGUACCCAAACUGAAUCCUUCAUGAAAAGUAUGAGCAUUUCCACGAGUACUUUGGAUGCACCAUGGGGGCCUGCUACCUCCAUGCCCGUGAAGCAUGUUCAUCCAAGGCCAGCUAAAAGACCUCGGGUUGGGGGGGAGGAGGAGGAGGAGGAGGAGGAGGAGGAGGAGGAGGAGGAUGAAGAUGACAUCUUCACGAUAAAACCUGAACCCCACGACUCCACCUAUGAUCCAGCGCAGUCAAGGAGCAAUGUGACAGAAUCAUUACAGCCCAGUGAGCCCACGUAUGUGCUUUUGGCUGUCAAUUCAGCUAAACGACAAUGUUUAUUGACAUAUCCUUGUGUUAAUACUUUGCUUGUUAACCUAACAUUGUGAAUGUCUAUAAUGCCAUUUGUCUCAAACAGUGAUACGUCUUCAACUGGAUACAAAGACUCCAAGUGCAUCGUAUUGGAGAAGAACCUUAUGGAACUUUUUGAAACGUGUCCAGUCUGCAACCGAGUGUCAGAUGUGAGGACCUACAAACGAGGAACAUAUUUGUCGGUCGUCCAAAAAUGCAAUCACUGCCAGUAUUCCAAGCAAUGGAAGAGCCAGCCAGUGAUGGCAGCGUCCCUGUAGGCAACAAUCAACCGUCUGCUGCCAUAUAUUUCACCGGCUGUUCAUAUUGUGCAAAGGGUAAAGGUACACUCAACAUUUGACUGUUUACAGAUUGAACAGUAUUUAUCUUCUCCAACUUUUGGCGUAUUUCUAAGUUCCAGUUCCUGGUCUGACACAGCGAUAACCCUCCUGCUGAUGGACUGCUCGUGUCGGACGCAGGGCUCUUGAAACAUCUCCCCUCCCCAUCUGCCUCAACUUUACAUUACAAAAACUGUCAAGUGGCAGCAUGGAAUGAGCAACCAUGUGUAUUGAUGAGCAACAACCUCAACCUCAGGGCCAGACAGUCGCCAAACGGACCUCUUUGGUGAACCACAUGCAAGGCAGACGUAGCCAUGACAAAACUCUCUUCCAUCAAAUGCCAACAUCCAGUCCUUUAGAGCAGAGAUCGCAAGAUGUGGCUUCUACCAGGGCCCGGUUUCCCAAUAACGUCCACCCUUAGCACGCUGCAAAGGCUCCUACGUUUACACUUAUCAAAGUUGUUUACCUCUAUAGGCAUGAUUCCCGAACGGUCUCUUAAGAGACUUCUUAGGAAACAGUCCUUACAUCGCUGUCCAGAAAGAAAGUGCUGAAAUCGAUUGCUCAGAGUUCGAUUUUCCAUUUCAUGCGCAGGUGCAU